UAGGAACCGGCAUGGGCAUAACCUCAGGAUAUAAAUGAUGCUGAAGCAGGGUCAAGGGUUUUUUUUUUUUUAGGUUUCCGUGUCUUACUGUUGAGCUGCUAAGUGCCCGGCUUAGAAGACCAGAAAAGGAGUCACAGGUUGUUUGAGGGACGUUCAUCAAGGAAACCGGAGAAACUGAAAAUGCUCUUCUGCUGCUUGAGAACAGUCACAGAGAGAAGAGUAAAUUCCUUCCAUUCUUACCGUAAUUUUUCUUGCUGAUGGGAACAAUUCAAGUCAAGUGACAUAACCUACUGGGUUGGUGACAUUUACAAGACAGACUCUUGAAGAUUUUCCAGAAUGGGAAAGAUGAACUUCACAAGCAACAAUUUUUCAAAUCAGUUUUCUCUGUUGUGAAUCUUGAAGUGGGCACAUGACGCAGUUUCCCAUUUAAGAUUUUGAAAGAACAAAGAGUAACUACAGAAUCAUUGCUUACAUUGACACCCGCCCAAUUGUCCCAAUGGAUGGGUUUUUUGGGAUGAACGUAAAAAUUGACCCUGCUGUUAAAGCUUGAAACUUGGAUCUAUUUUAUCUGAGUUCUCUCCUCAAAAAAAGACCUUCAGGAAGUAUCAGGAAGCCAUCAUUCUUUAGAGGGCAAUGACCGAACAGUACCAGCAGAAAUUGAAGUACCAGCAGAAGGCUAAGAAGGAUCAUGGCACAAGUUGCAGUUUCCACCCUGCCCAUUGAAGAUGAGUCCAUGGAAGAUGAGGAGUCCGUUGAAGAUGAGGAGUCUGUUGAAGAUGAGUCCAUGGAGAGCAGGAUGGUGGUGACACUGCUCAUAUAGCUCUCGAGUCCACAUAAGAAGAGGAACUUCUCGGCUGGGCGCAGCAGCUCAUGCCUGUAAUCCCAGCACUUUGGGAGGCCGAGGAAGGUGGAUCACAAGCAGCUCCUGAAUGUUCCGGAUGAGGUCGGCUUCCUGAGGGAGGAGACGCCCUGAGCACCAGAGCCCCUCCCUGGUGAGGAUCCCAGCAGGCCCAGCUGCCGCAGGCCUUGGUCAACACCUGAGCAACCAGAAGGAGCUGAAUGCCGGGCCUGAGCUCUGACUGUGCAAGUUCUGCUCUCUCACUGGGUUUAUCUUGGGCUUUUGGGCAUUCUCCUUGGUGCGUUGUAAGUGAGGUGUUUUCCUCCAGGGCCUUCUAUGGGCUGCUGGAAAAGUCCCUCAGCGGCAGUUCCCACACCCCAGGCUUCAGGAGUCAUCACUGCUGCUCACUCAGUGCACCCAGGAACGUUGGCCUGCCCCUGGCCCCUGGACAGCCUCUGAGGACCCAAACUCUGGGGGCCCAGAUGCCCGCCCAGGCUGCCCCUCAGGGCUCUGUGCUGGGAAAGGCCAUCCUUACACCAAGAACAGGAGGAGGACCCUGUGUUUCUUCUUACUGCCUGGCCAGUUUAAUUUUCUGUGUGUAGCAACAAGCCUUUUCCCUGCGAUCAUGGUCUUUGCCUCAACCACCGGCUAACUCCUUGUGUGCCAGGGCCCGAGUCCUGCGCCCUUCUGUCGCCGGGUUUGCCUCUUCCUGCACCGUCAGUGUCUCCGUCACUCGGCAGGUGCCCUUGGUGUGGGCAGAGGGUUUGCGGGAGCUGCAGGAGUUCUUGAGGCACUGAGAGGGUGCAGGGGGAAGGGCCUGCAGAAGGGUAAGGGAGGGAGGAGGGAAGGCAUGAGGGGAGGGAGGGACUCAAGGGUUCUUGCUUGAGCUUGGGGGUAUGGCAGGAGACCAGCUGCCCCCACCCCACAUCUUUCAUGAAUGUCUACAGGCCUAUAGUGGUUCUCAGGGAGGCCCCAGGCUCUGAGAGGCUAGAGAGUUCUUCAGAGCAGCAACAGGGCCAGGACUGAAUUACUCUCUCACCCUAUGGGGCUGCCCCACAGACAAGCUGGGCUGGAUUGGGAAGUUACAGGGGACAUGGAGGAGAGAGGACCUGCGGGUGCAGAUCUGUGUGGCCCCAGCUCUGUAUAGGAUAAAUGGGAGCGGUGGCUCCCAGCCCACCCCACCCUGGGCCAUCCUGGCAGUGCUGGCCCAGGCCUGGGUUUUCACCUCGGGAGCAACUGUCCCAGCCAGGGAUGGUCUCUGGGGAGGUGCCUUGUGGCUCAGCCCAGGGAGCCCAGAGUCAGGAUAACUGUACCAGGACUCAAAGGGAUUGGAAGAGGAGAGGAAGAGAAAUAGCUGCUUGGAAGUCAGGGGCCCUCUGGGGCAAAGCUGCCUCCUGUCUGUCACUAAGGGGCCAGAUUUCGGGACUCGGGUCUCACGUGCAGAGGGCUGGGCUCCCGCUUGCUUGCAGCAGCCACGUGGCUUGUCCACGUGAACUGCCGGGGCCCGUCUUCUGCGCCCACAAGUCCCGGCCACCCAAGGCUGCUGGCACCUUCAGCAGCUCCGUCUCCGCAUGGUCGCGCACGAGGUUGGGGUGCUGGCGGCGCUCACGGCACUGCAGGUUGUCAGUGGCGAUGGAGAAGGGCACCUCCGUGGCGUCCAGGGCGCGUUCCAGCCGUUGCUUCUGGGCCAGCAGCAAGUCGGUUUCCGCAGCCAGCGCCGCCACCUCGCGCUGCAGUUCCGACUUCCAGCCGUGCGUGUCCUGCAAUCGCUCGCCCACCCUAGGCGUGGAGUCUUGUUGCGUGCGCCGCGCCAGCGCCUGGGUCUCCGCGGCCAGCUGCUGGCUCUCGUGCCGCUGCCGCUCCGAUUGGUGGCGGUCGGCGAAGGCCUGGUGGUAGCCAGCAUAGCAGUUCUAAAACCACUCCUCCAGCAGGUACUUGGCGGUGCGGAAGCCGGCGGUGGCCAGGCCGGAGGACGUAUAGGCGCCCGUGUUGCGGGCCACGUCGUACUCUUUGCAGGGCAGCUUGCAGGGCGGCACCGCCUGCGGGGCCGGCUCUUUGGUUAAGAGCACAUCCUUCUGCGCCAUGGUGCCCGCCGCCCACCAGGGCCAGGGGAGUGAGGAAUGUGUGUGGUCAGCCCAGUGCGGUCAGCGUGGCAGCUCCAGCGGCUGAGUCCCAGAGCAGGACGCGGCUCCCAGUCGCCUGGGUGACACUGUAAACCAAGAGCUUCCUGUUGCUAAGAAACGGGAUCCCCUCUCCAGUGGCUGGGGAAGGGGGCAUUCAGGGCGGCGGGCAGAACUGCCCUCUUAAAGGGCCAGGCAGCCCCAGCCCCACCAUCCCUGUACCCGCCUCGGGACAAUCAGCAGUGGUCAAGGGUUCCUGUCACUUAGAGGAUCCUGGGGCCAGCCCGUCUCCAGCCUCUGUGUCCCACCCUUAGGGUUCAGGGUGUGGGUGGGGACCUGCUGCCCUGGCCCCUUCCUUGAUUCAUCCAUUUGUUCUUGGUUUGCUCUCUGAUCCUGUCCUGUGCGGAGCUCCCCGCUCAGGGUGAACAAGACAGAGGAGGCUCUGUUCACUUGCAGCCCCCUUAGAGCAGAGGGUUGUGGCUGUCGUGUGGGUGUUGGGUGUGCUGACUGAUAGUGUCACUUGAUGCCGUACAGGUGGCUGCUCUCCCUGCCCUCCUGGCCCCAACAGCAGCCUGGUGGCACAGGGAGGGUCCCCGGCCAGGCCCCCUCGGGGGCAGUCUGAGGCAGUUCCUGCAGGGACUAUGCUCCAUCUGCUCCUGGACCUAGUGCUUGAGAGCCAGGCCCUGGCCUCUGGCCUCCUCCCAAGUCCCAGCCAGGGUCCCCUCAGGCUGGGCACAGCGGGGAAGGAGUCUGAGUGUGCUCUUCGCUGGGGAGUUGAAUUUAGCCUCUGGGUAAGUGUCCAGAGUCAGACGCCCAAAUCUGCCCCACAGGGCGGAGGCAGGUCCUGUGCUGCGGAGGCUGGAUGGGCAGGAAGCGUCCCAGGACACAUCGGAGUCCCCCAAACCUGAGGCCAGGGGAGCCCCAGCCUAGGCGCGAUUCCCCACACGGCCAGCGGAGGAUGGCUUUGGGCUGGCGGUGAGAAGCCUGCGGCUCCUGGCUCGGCCUCCCCUCAGCCUGCCUGGAGCAUGCAGUCCUGGUGCACAGGAUUUGACCAAGGAUGCAUCAGAGAUAGGAGACUGGGCCCUCACUCCUGCCAGCUGCAAACUCCCAAAACCCCCAGCCCUCUCAUGGGGUGAAGACGCCCUGAAGGACACUCCAGUGUGCUCACACCUCUGGGUUCUGUCAGCCAGAGAGUGGGACCCUCAGGCCACAUGUGUCUUGCUGGAUCUCAGCUUCAGGGACCCCAGGGUGCUGGCAGCUCCCUGAGAACCUGGGUCAGGGGGUGUCCAUUAGAGCCCCUAGGUCAGGACCCAGAGCACCCCGGGCAGUUGGCAUCUCCAGAAAGCAGGAGGUGGGGCAUGGCUCUGUGACAGAUGUCCCUGAGACAGGGAUGAUUGAAGGGACAGAGGGGUGUGCUCAGGGGCUGAAGGGCAGACGAGGCCACCAAAGGGCACCUUGGAUACCGGAUGGCCCCAGGAAGGCCCCUGAACCCCAUCCUGAUUGAUCCAGGGCCAGUGACCUUGGCCCAGACUGCAGGCCUGGAGACUUGGGUUCCUUUAGUUUCUUAAGAAAGUACUAUACUCCUUUUUGGCAUAGCUGUACAAUCUUACAUUCCCACCAGUAAUGUGUGAAAGCUCCAGUUUUUACUCAUGCUUCUCAGCGUUUGAUGUUUUAUUUUUAUUUUAGGCAUUCUGAUAUAUAUGUGUUAGUAAGUCAUUGUGGUCUUAAUUUGUAAAUUUCUAAUGACUAAUGAUAUUUAACAUCUUUUCCUAUACAUAAUUAAAUACCAUCUGUAUUCCUUUUCACAUAUCAUUAGCACAACCAUGAAAAAUCAGAACAAAUUUUUUCACGUCUUCAAAAUUUUUAGAACAAUACUCAAGGAAAAGGUGUUUAUUUAGAACAAUGAAAACAAUGAGACAUUAACUUCUAGCUUAAAUAAAAUUGAUUGUGUGCAU
Molecule: long non-coding RNA, 4913 nt
Organism: Pongo pygmaeus (Bornean orangutan)
Lineage: Eukaryota; Metazoa; Chordata; Mammalia; Primates; Hominidae
Exons: 9
Source: RefSeq, a predicted model, not a curated record